RNAcentral lists this unclassified non-coding RNA (346 nucleotides) under soil metagenome. RNAcentral's name for it is "partial contains 5.8S ribosomal RNA, internal transcribed spacer 2, and large subunit ribosomal RNA". The stretch from base 1 to 120 matches the Rfam family "5.8S ribosomal RNA", at positions 35 to 154 of the family's 154-position model. The record is from RNAcentral.
GAUGAAGAACGUAGCAAAAUGCGAUAAGUAAUGUGAAUUGCAGAAUUCAGUGAAUCAUCGAAUCUUUGAACGCACAUUGCGCCCGCCAGUAUUCUGGCGGGCAUGCCUGUUCGAGCGUCAUUUCAACCCUCAAGCCCUCGGGUUUGGUGUUGGGGAUCGGCGAGCCUUUCUGGCAAGCCGGCCCCGAAAUCUAGUGGCGGUCUCGCUGCAGCCUCCAUUGCGUAGUAGUAAAACCCUCGCAACUGGAACGCGGCGCGGCCAAGCCGUUAAACCCCCAACUUCUGAAUGUUGACCUCGCAUCAGGUAGGAAUACCCGCUGAACUUAAGCAUAUCAAUAAGCGGAGGA